AGAGUUUGAUCCUGGCUCAGGAUGAACGCUGGCGGCGUGCCUAAUACAUGCAAGUCGAGCGAAUGGAUUAAGAGCUUGCUCUUAUGAGGUUAGCGGCGGACGGGUGAGUAACACGUGGGUAACCUGCCCAUAAGACUGGGAUAACUCCGGGAAACCGGGGCUAAUACCGGAUAACAUUUUGAACUGCAUGGUUCGAAAUUGAAAGGCGGCUUCGGCUGUCACUUAUGGAUGGACCCGCGUCGCAUUAGCUAGUUGGUGAGGUAACGGCUCACCAAGGCAACGAUGCGUAGCCGACCUGAGAGGGUGAUCGGCCACACUGGGACUGAGACACGGCCCAGACUCCUACGGGAGGCAGCAGUAGGGAAUCUUCCGCAAUGGACGAAAGUCUGACGGAGCAACGCCGCGUGAGUGAUGAAGGCUUUCGGGUCGUAAAACUCUGUUGUUAGGGAAGAACAAGUGCUAGUUGAAUAAGCUGGCACCUUGACGGUACCUAACCAGAAAGCCACGGCUAACUACGUGCCAGCAGCCGCGGUAAUACGUAGGUGGCAAGCGUUAUCCGGAAUUAUUGGGCGUAAAGCGCGCGCAGGUGGUUUCUUAAGUCUGAUGUGAAAGCCCACGGCUCAACCGUGGAGGGUCAUUGGAAACUGGGAGACUUGAGUGCAGAAGAGGAAAGUGGAAUUCCAUGUGCAGCGGUGAAAUGCGUAGAGAUAUGGAGGAACACCAGUGGCGAAGGCGACUUUCUGGUCUGUAACUGACACUGAGGCGCGAAAGCGUGGGGAGCAAACAGGAUUAGAUACCCCCGUAGUCC
RNAcentral lists this ribosomal RNA (808 nucleotides) under uncultured bacterium. RNAcentral describes it as "bacterial SSU rRNA". It matches the Rfam family "Bacterial small subunit ribosomal RNA", at positions 8 to 796 of the family's 1533-position model. The record is from RNAcentral.